Molecule: long non-coding RNA, 1378 nt
Filed under: Ananas comosus (pineapple)
Lineage: Eukaryota; Viridiplantae; Streptophyta; Magnoliopsida; Poales; Bromeliaceae
Description: long non-coding RNA (ACOM_LNC033964)
Source: RNAcentral
GAUGAUUUAUUGUAAAAAUAUAAUAUUUAUGUAAUUUGUUUGAAUUAUUAUUAAGGAUGAUUGGCAUUUUAUUUUCAUAAGAUAAUAGAAAAUUUUCUUCAUGACAAAGCAUUGACGCAUGGACCAAUUAAUUAUACUUUUAAGGUAUCGUUUGGUUCGAGGAUAAGCAAAAAGUGACUAUUCCAGAGAUAGGUAUAAAUUGAGGUAUAAACGGGGAUUAGAUCAAUUUUGCGUUUGGAUAAAAAUUGGGUUAUUUCUGGGAAUAAAAAAAAUAGCGUUUGGUUAGGUAAGAUGGAAUAAAAAAGAUAGUAGAUUUUAUAAAUAAAAAAUAAUCAUAUUAUCCUCUUAUUAUAUUUAAAUUUAAAUUUUUAAAUUUUUAAAUAUAUAUUUUUAAAUUUAAAAUUUUAACUUUGAAAUUUUAAAUUUUGAAAUUUAAAAUCUCAAAUUUUAAAUUCAAAAUUUUAAAUUUUAAAUUUCAAACUUUAAAUUUAAGAUCAAAUUUAAAUUUGAAAAAUAUAAAAUAUCAAAUUUUAAAUUUCAAAUUAAAAUAUCAAAACUUAAAUAUAAAAUUUAAAAUUUAAAAUUAUAAACUUUAAUUUUGAGAUUAUAAAUUAUAAAUUUUAAAAAUUUAAAUUUUUAAUUUUUAAUUUUUUCAAAUAAGAAUAGGGGUGGAAACAAUUAAUAAAAAUAAUUUAUUAUAAUAAAUGUAUAAAUUUUUUUAAAAUUCUACUUAAACUUAAAUUUAAUAAAAAGAAUUUAUUAUAAUAUUUAAAUAUAAUUUACUAUAAAUUUUAUUAUAAUAUUUAAAUAUAAAUAAUAAUUAUUAAUAUAGUACAAUUAAUAAUUUUAUAAUAAAAAUAAUGUAUUAUAAUAUAUAAAUUUUAAAAAAUUAAAUUUUUAAUUUUUAAAUUUUUAAAAUAAGAAUAGGGGUGGGAACAAUUAAUAAAAACUAUUUAUUAUAAUAAAUUUAUAAAUUUUUUAAAAAUUCUACUUAAACUUAAAUUUAAUAAAAAGAAUUUAUUAUAAUAUUUAAAUAUAAUUUAUUAUAAAUUUUAUUAUAAUAUUUAAAUAUAAAUAAUAUGUAUUAAUAUAGUACAAUUAAUAAUUUUAUAAUAAAAAUAAUGUAUUAUAAUAUAUAACAUAUUAUAUUUAUAUAAUUUAGUUUUAAUUCAAUUUAUAAUUUUAAUUAAGUUUGAAAUUAAGCAUUGGAAUAGUGUUAUUCCACCAAAAUGGUGGAAUAGCAAAUCUCUAUUCCGGGAUAACCGGGAAUAGCAAGGUUUGACCGGGAUAAAAUAUCCCGGCCAAAUUUCACCCCGUUUGGCGGAAUAGUGGGGAUAACUUUUGUUAUCCCCGCUUAUCCCCCCAACCAAACGGGGCC